UGUGUAUGGAGAUUUUGAGUAUAGUUCUGACAUUUCAAGGAACUUAGGCGUGGGAAUUGAAAGAACCAAUGGAAGGGUUACUGAACAGGGAUAUGAAAAACCUUGGUAUGGAGCUGCCAACGGUGUCUCGGAAACAAUAUCUGGCCAAAAAAAUGGUUUAAGUAUGAAGCAUGCAUUUCCAAAUUUAUCAACGCCAAAGUCCGCC
This 205-nucleotide unclassified non-coding RNA is filed under the name Hevea brasiliensis (rubber tree). The record is from RNAcentral. Lineage: Eukaryota; Viridiplantae; Streptophyta; Magnoliopsida; Malpighiales; Euphorbiaceae.